CAAAAUCUAAACUAAGUUAAACCAUUUAUAAUUUGAUUGAAUUAAAUAAAUUUUUUAAAUGUGUCAUUCUAACAAAAUGUGUGUGAUUUUUUUUCAAAUUAAAUAUUAUUUUACUUUAAAAUCGAUACAAACUACACCACAAACACUUGUAAUAUUUAUGCCUUUUUUUUUAAUUAAAAUUGGAUUUAUAUAAUACCAACUACAUAUCUUAAAUAUUUAUUUAUUUGUCAUUUCUAGAAAAUAGCAUGAACAUGUUCAUUAUAAUUUUUUACUAAUUUAAUCACAAUUGAGUUUAAGUAUAUAAUAUGAAAUAAUUAAUGAUUUAAGUUAAUAUGUGGUACUUCUUAUUUUUCCAUUAAUUAUGAUAAUAUAUGUAAAUGAUAGUACAAUAUAAGAACAUAUGUGAGAGGUAUGGAAUACAUUAAUACACCUAUAUUAUGUAUGUGUGUGUCUGAUUUUCACAAAUGUCUAAAACUAUUUUAUGUAGGAGUUUGUCAUACUUCCCCAUUUUUAUCUCUGAUUUUUUAAGAUACAUUUUCUUUAAUUUCAUUUUUUUUUCAGUUUCUUCUUUUUUCUAUCAACAUUUAUUUUGAGUUUUUUAUUUUCACCUUAUUUGUGUCUAAACAAAUCCGAACCUCCUAUAAGUUGACCACCAUAUCUCAAGCCUUCAUAACUAUUUUGGAUUCUUUUGAAGUAUUAACUACAAAUACUUUAUACUAUUAUAUAUAUAUAAUAAAAGAAAACAAUUGUGCCUUUAAUUUAUUUUCAUACAUUGUUUUCUAUUUUUGGUUGAUUCCAUUUUUGCAAUAAUAGAGAUAAAAAUCGUUACACAAAAUAAAAGACUUAAUUUUCAUGCUUAGUGGUCAACAAAAAGUUAAAAUAAGAAAGUGAACAUUUUUUUUUAAUCUUAAAAGAGAUUAUAAAUACUAUAAUGUUCAACUUAACAAUAUCAACAUUUGUCAGUUGAACUAAAAUUUAAGGAUAAAAAGUGAUUAUAUUAUAAAAACCAAAAACAUAAAUUACCCUUAAAAAAAUUACCAAACAUAUUAGUCACUUGCUUCAGAAUUUAAAACAAUAUGCUUACCUAAGUUGACAAACACCUCCCCAAUUCAACCCUUCAAUGCCUUAAUAGGUGUUGGUGACCCCUUAUUCUCACAAUUAGCCAAGUUAUAUAUAUAUAUUACCUAAUCAAGCUUUUUUUUCUUCUUAUAUUUGUUUUGUCCCAUACAUGAUCACUAUAAAUAGCUAUAUAUUAUAUUUAUGUUUCACUACAAUUAAACUCUUGGUUCAACAAGGAUGAAAAUGAAGUCUUUUAUUUUUGUGUUCUUUUUUUUUGUAAUAAUUCUUAUCUCUAUUAAUGCAGAAAUUGAGUCAAUCAAAAAUGAAAAACAAUCUGGUACUACAAUAGAAUCCAAAAUAAUUGAUGAAGGCUUGAGAUACGGUGGUGAACUCGUAGAAGGAAGUAAAAAUAAAUGUCAAAACAAAGGUAAGCAAUCAAAAGAAGAAAUUGAUGAUGAUGAUGAUGACAAGGACGAGGACAACAAGAAAAAAGAAGAAGGUUCAAAAGAAAUAACUUUAAAAAGUCGGGGACGGAAAUGGGGAAAUAAGGGACGUCGAACUCCUUAAAUGAAAAUUUGACGCAUGUAGAUAUAAAAACAUGUUACUCCAUGUUUGGUUUAUGAAUAAAAGGAUGAACAUGUUUCCUUAACUACUAUACUUUCACCAUACUUAAUUAUAUAUACAUAUAUUAUAUAUUAGGAUAAAUAAAUGAAAAAUAAGAUUCUGAUUA
This is a long non-coding RNA of Cicer arietinum (chickpea), 1789 nucleotides long. RefSeq lists it as uncharacterized. The record is from RefSeq and is a predicted model, not a curated record. NCBI's taxonomy places the organism in Eukaryota, Viridiplantae, Streptophyta, Magnoliopsida, Fabales, Fabaceae.